AGCUCAAUUGCUAGGUUGUAUGAUAAUUGAUGAGCUUUAUAAGAAACUACAAAGCUGCUUUCCAGACUGACUGUACCAUUUUACAUUUCUGCCAAUGAU
This 99-nucleotide microRNA precursor is filed under the name Marmota monax (woodchuck). Lineage: Eukaryota; Metazoa; Chordata; Mammalia; Rodentia; Sciuridae. The record is from RNAcentral.